RNAcentral lists this unclassified non-coding RNA (354 nucleotides) under soil metagenome. Its description in RNAcentral is "partial contains 5.8S ribosomal RNA, internal transcribed spacer 2, and large subunit ribosomal RNA". The stretch from base 1 to 120 matches the Rfam family "5.8S ribosomal RNA", at positions 35 to 154 of the family's 154-position model. The record is from RNAcentral.
GAUGAAGAACUCAGCGAAAUGCGAUAAGUAGUGUGAAUUGCAGAAUUCAGUGAAUCAUCGAAUCUUUGAACGCAAAUUGCGCCUCCUGGUAUUCCUGGAGGCAUGCCUGUUCGAGCGUCAUUAAAAUCACUCAAGCUUAGGUUUACCUAUUGCUUGGUCUUGGAGAUGGAAGCCAAUUUAUUGGAAUCCUCUUCGAAAUUCAAUGGCGAAGACCCUUGCUCUCCCAAGUGUAGUAAUAACUUAUGUCACUGAAGGAAGCGAGAAAUCUUCUGCCGUAACCCCCAUAUUUUCUAUGAUUGACCUCGGAUCAGGUAGGGAUACCCGCUGAACUUAAGCAUAUCAAUAAGCGGAGGA